ACCCUUUAAUGUUUGAUGUUCUAACGUGGACCCGUGAUCCGGGUUGCGGACAGUGUCUGGUGGGUAGUUUGACUGGGGCGGUCUCCUCCUAAAGAGUAACGGAGGAGCACGAAGGUUGGCUAAUCCUGGUCGGACAUCAGGAGGUUAGUGCAAUGGCAUAAGCCAGCUUGACUGCGAGCGUGACGGCGCGAGCAGGUGCGAAAGCAGGUCAUAGUGAUCCGGUGGUUCUGAAUGGAAGGGCCAUCGCUCAACGGAUAAAAGGUACUCCGGGGAUAACAGGCUGAUACCGCCCAAGAGUUCAUAUCGACGGCGGUGUUUGGCACCUCGAUGUCGGCUCAUCA
This 341-nucleotide ribosomal RNA is filed under the name Salmonella enterica subsp. enterica. RNAcentral's name for it is "partial 23S ribosomal RNA". It matches the Rfam family "Bacterial large subunit ribosomal RNA", at positions 2202 to 2542 of the family's 2925-position model. The record is from RNAcentral. Lineage: Bacteria; Pseudomonadati; Pseudomonadota; Gammaproteobacteria; Enterobacterales; Enterobacteriaceae.